RNAcentral lists this non-coding RNA (691 nucleotides) under Pan troglodytes (chimpanzee). The record is from RNAcentral. Lineage: Eukaryota; Metazoa; Chordata; Mammalia; Primates; Hominidae.
AUACUGAAGGGUUGGUAGGGGACCAGAGAAUAGAGGAAGCAUUGUAGGUUCUAGAGUGGAGAAGGGACCAUCCAAAAUGGAGUUUGAAAGAGAAUUCUGGCCUUUGUGUUUAGAGUCUGGAAUUGUCAAGAGUCUGAAAGCACAGAAUAAGACUGCAGCUAGAGCAAUUUAGGCGCCAUAGUUUGUCAAAACAGAGUGGGAGGCAUAACUGCUUUGCCUCCAGUCAUCAUCUGGGGGCAUAUCUACUCUUCGAGGACCAGGGGUUCGGGACCCUGGAAAAGGAUCUGAAUUCCAAGCUGACCUCAGGGGUACAUGAAGACUGCUAGAUGAGACGGGAUCUCACUGUGUUGCUCAGGCUGGUCUCGAACUGCUGGACUCAAGUCAUCCUCCCAUCUUGGCCUCCCAAAGUGCUGGAAUUACAGUGGACAACCUUCAAUGCACUGGUACUUUGUACCCUGACCUCUACUGUGAUGAACACUCAACUUGGGCAAGAAAGUGAAAUUCUCCAAAGUGCAGUGGGUUCUGACCCAAUCAGCAGCCUUUGCUUCUCAGAUUCCUCUCAAGGCUUUAUGACUCUUCUCACCCCAGGAAACCCUACAACACGCACGGCCUUUCAGAACUGCUACAUGGAAUGGACAUUCCUCUGGGCGCCAGCUGAAUGUUUGUAAAUAAAAUAAUGACUGCGUGUCCU